Molecule: non-coding RNA, 689 nt
Organism: Peromyscus maniculatus bairdii (prairie deer mouse)
Lineage: Eukaryota; Metazoa; Chordata; Mammalia; Rodentia; Cricetidae
Source: RefSeq, a predicted model, not a curated record
GAGGGAGUAACUAUCCUUCCAUGUGACUCCAGACCAGAUAACACCCCCUCCAGCGGGAGUGGGAGGAGCUGCAAACAGGACGGCUUUUCUAUACCCACCCUCCACUUCCACACCAGUGGGAUUCCUGUGCCUGGCCCAGGAUGCUCUGACCCUGGCAAUCUCUGUCUUGGGCCAGGCCCUGUCACCAGCCUACCUAGCACAGGGCCUGCCUCCCCAAGGACACCCUCCCCUCCUGGCAGUGGCCUUGGAAAGAACCCCAGAGCUGUAAAAUGGAACGAAGUCACGUGGACACACACCUCUUCUCCUCCUGCUCUCCAGCAUCCCCUCUGGAGCGGCAGCAGAAACAGGCUGGAGGGGACACUCUUGGCUCAUACCUGGUGGUGGGAGAUCGCUUCCGCCUCUCACAGUGGACAGCAUCAAAGAAGGCCGCAUUCCAGAACCUUGACGUGUGCCUGCGGGAUGAGACAUGGUAAAGGUCUACCCAGGAGUAAGCUGGUCCUUCCUACGCUCUACCCCAAGAGUAACAGCUUCUCAUUUUGUGAAGCCUGAGAGGGCUGAUCACAGUCACUGCAAGAGCAAGAACAUCCGAGGGCAGCCUGUGCUGGACACUCCAUGAUGGGAGAUCCUAUGGACACUCAGCAGGCACUGUGUCUCCCAAAAGCCAUCGAGCUACACUGCCCACAUUCCAG